GUACUGUUGAAGAGCCCCAAACUAGGGCGAAACGGAUGUCCAGUAC
Non-coding RNA from Trichobilharzia regenti, 46 nucleotides. The record is from Rfam. Lineage: Eukaryota; Metazoa; Platyhelminthes; Trematoda; Strigeidida; Schistosomatidae.